Molecule: ribosomal RNA, 400 nt
Filed under: uncultured Acinetobacter sp.
Lineage: Bacteria; Pseudomonadati; Pseudomonadota; Gammaproteobacteria; Moraxellales; Moraxellaceae
Description: bacterial SSU rRNA
Rfam family: Bacterial small subunit ribosomal RNA
Source: RNAcentral
CGGUAAUACAGAGGGUGCAAGCGUUAAUCGGAUUUACUGGGCGUAAAGCGCGCGUAGGCGGCUAAUUAAGUCAAAUGUGAAAUCCCCGAGCUUAACUUGGGAAUUGCAUUCGAUACUGGUUAGCUAGAGUGUGGGAGAGGAUGGUAGAAUUCCAGGUGUAGCGGUGAAAUGCGUAGAGAUCUGGAGGAAUACCGAUGGCGAAGGCAGCCAUCUGGCCUAACACUGACGCUGAGGUGCGAAAGCAUGGGGAGCAAACAGGAUUAGAUACCCUGGUAGUCCAUGCCGUAAACGAUGUYUACUAGCCGUUGGGGCCUUUGAGGCUUUAGUGGCGCAGCUAACGCGAUAAGUAGACCGCCUGGGGAGUACGGUCGCAAGACUAAAACUCAAAGGAAAUUGACGG